GGAUGUAGCUCAGGGGUAGAGCACUUGUCUAGAAUGCAUAAGUCCCGGGCUUUGAUUCCCAGUAUCACA
This 69-nucleotide transfer RNA is filed under the name Marmota monax (woodchuck). RNAcentral's name for it is "tRNA.Ser". The record is from RNAcentral. Lineage: Eukaryota; Metazoa; Chordata; Mammalia; Rodentia; Sciuridae.